RNAcentral lists this ribosomal RNA (628 nucleotides) under uncultured bacterium. RNAcentral describes it as "bacterial SSU rRNA". It matches the Rfam family "Bacterial small subunit ribosomal RNA", at positions 338 to 873 of the family's 1533-position model. The record is from RNAcentral.
CCUACGGGAGGCAGCAGUGGGGAAUUUUGGACAAUGGGGGAAACCCUGAUCCAGCAAUGCCGCGUGUGUGAAGAAGGCCUUCGGGUUGUAAAGCACUUUUGUCCGGAAAGAAAACUUCUGCCCUAAUACGGUGGGAGGAUGACGGUACCGGAAGAAUAAGCACCGGCUAACUACGUGCCAGCAGCCGCGGUAAUACGUAGGGUGCGAGCGUUAAUCGGAAUUACUGGGCGUAAAGCGUGCGCAGGCGGUUCGUUAAGACAGAUGUGAAAUCCCCGGGCUUAACCUGGGAACUGCAUUUGUGACUGGCGAGCUAGAGUAUGGCAGAGGGGGGUAGAAUUCCACGUGUAGCAGUGAAAUGCGUAGAGAUGUGGAGGAAUACCGAUGGCGAAGGCAGCCCCCUGGGCCAAUACUGACGCUCAUGCACGAAAGCGUGGGGAGCAAAACAGGGUAUAGACUACCCGUAGGUACGUACCACCGUACCCUAAACGAUCGUACUAACGUUAGUUUGGUUCGGGUUCUUACUAUUCGUACGUUAAGUAACGUAGACCUAACGUCGUAGUAAGUUCGACCGUCCGGUGGGGACGUACGGUCGACGAAGUAAAUUUAAAACGUAAAGGUAAUUAGGACG